UACAGAGGUCCCAAGCGUUGUUCGGAUUCACUGGGCGUAAAGGGUGCGUAGGUGGUGGGGUAAGUCGGAUGUGAAAUCUCCGAGCUCAACUCGGAAAUGGCAUUGGAAACUACCCUGCUUGAGGGUCGGAGGGGGGACUGGAAUGCUUGGUGUAGCAGUGAAAUGCGUAGAUAUCAAGCGGAACACCAGUGGCGAAGGCGAGUCCCUGGACAACUCCUGACACUGAGGCACGAAAGCUAGGGGAGCAAACAGG
RNAcentral lists this ribosomal RNA (253 nucleotides) under uncultured bacterium. RNAcentral's name for it is "partial 16S ribosomal RNA". It matches the Rfam family "Bacterial small subunit ribosomal RNA", at positions 524 to 776 of the family's 1533-position model. The record is from RNAcentral.